This 619-nucleotide ribosomal RNA is filed under the name uncultured delta proteobacterium. RNAcentral describes it as "bacterial SSU rRNA". It matches the Rfam family "Bacterial small subunit ribosomal RNA", at positions 34 to 639 of the family's 1533-position model. Lineage: Bacteria; Deltaproteobacteria. The record is from RNAcentral.
CGCUGGCGGCGUGCUUAACACAUGCAAGUCGAACGCGAAAUUUUUUCUUCGGAGAAAAGAGUAGAGUGGCGCACGGGUGAGUAACGCGUAAGUAAUCUACCCUGGCAUCUGGAAUAACCCACCGAAAGGUGUGCUAAUACCGGAUACGUUGAUUUAUCAAGAAAGGUGGCCUCUAUUUAUAUGCUACCGUGCUAGGAGGAGCUUGCGUACCAUUAGCUAGUUGGUAGGGUAAUGGCCUACCAAGGCGACGAUGGUUAGCGGGUCUGAGAGGAUGAUCCGCCACACUGGAACUGGAACACGGACCAGACUCCUACGGGAGGCAGCAGUGAGGAAUAUUGCGCAAUGGGGGAAACCCUGACGCAGCGACGCCGCGUGGAUGAUGAAGGCCUUCGGGUCGUAAAAUCCUGUCAGGUGGAAAGAAAUGCAUAUAUAUUAAUACUAUUUAUGUUUGACGGUACCACCAAAGGAAGCACCGGCUAACUCCGUGCCAGCAGCCGCGGUAAUACGGAGGGUGCAAGCGUUGUUCGGAAUUACUGGGCGUAAAGCGCGCGUAGGCGGCUUUAUAAGUCAGAUGUGAAAGUCCAUGGCUCAACCAUGGAAGUGCAUUUGAAACUGUAAA